Molecule: unclassified non-coding RNA, 2247 nt
Filed under: Leishmania donovani
Lineage: Eukaryota; Euglenozoa; Kinetoplastea; Trypanosomatida; Trypanosomatidae
Description: gene:LdHU3.10.1500(CDS-product:hypothetical_prote in_conserved)
Source: RNAcentral
GGCAGUCAGCUUAGCGUGACCAAUUGGUGUGUGUGUGUGUGUGUGUGUCGCCGUGAUCUCUGAGUGCCGAGCACACUCGCAGAAUACUCUGCCCACAUAUUACCCGUACGCCGCGCAUCAGCCCACCACCCUCUAUCGUCUUGCAUGUGGCACGUACCGCCGCACAAGUCCGCCCAUGACUCCAUCUCUUCCUCUGUCGCUGCAUCCUCAUCCGCCGUCGCACCCUCGGCGCUGAGCGAGGAUGUAGCAAGGCUGCUAGCGUGGGGGCGACACGCGCUGCUAGCACAGCGACAGCAGCGACGUGCCUCGAGCACUAGCCUCGCCUGCGCUGACCAAGACUCGAUGUCGCCGAGGCCGCCGCGUCUGUCGUCCUCUGCCGCGCCAGUAUCCACUCCCGUGGCUCCAGGAACCGAUGAGCGCUCGUGGGAGCUGCAUGCACAAGGCCUGAAGGCAUCGGCGAGCACAUCCGGCUUCUCGCGCACGACUGCGGAUGCCCCUUAUACCGUCGAACAAGCACGGAAGCGCCUCGCUCAGCUCGAGGAGCUGGAGGCGGCAAACACGCGCGUGUUUGAGAGCAGAUGGGCGCUGCUGAGUCUCGGCCGCGAGCGGCUGCUACGACUACACCGUAAGCAGCGCGAGGGUGAGGCCCCAUCGCCGCAUACUCGUCACCUUCAGCGGCUUACCGUCGCUGUGCAGGCCAUCGUGGAAGGGGAAGCGUCGCUGAAGGAGGCUUUGCGCGACAUGCUGCGGGGUUUGGCAGAGCUGUACCAGCGACAUCAGCAACACCACGGUCAAACUGAGGAGUAUGCGGCCCACUCAGCGUCGGCUCGGGAGAAAAAGGCGACCCUGCUGGAGUCUGUCCACGGGGGUGGCUCCUGCGACUCGGAAGAGGAUGCAGGGGCGAAGGAAAGCGCGCCCGAUUCGUUGCGAAGUCUUGCGGAUGCUGUGGUGCGGCGCACCCGCCUCCUGCUAGACUCGCACUGUGAGUCGCAGAGAGCUCGCGCAGAGCAGCGCAGGGCCGCGACAGCGCGGCUACAGCGGCGCGCCGAAAGUGAACAGGCGCUGCAGCAUCGGCUCGAAAGGCUGAAGGCGGCCGUGGCGGAGGCGACCAAGGAAGAAGCCCACGAACGUCGCCGGCUGGCGGAGUUGCGGGCGCAGUGCGCAGCGGCUGAGCGCGCCGCUGCGUUACAGAAUGCGUCCGCGCUGCGAGAGCAAGCCACAAAGGAGGCACUGCAGCGUCUUCAACAACUGCAUCAGCACGCCGCUUUCCAGGACGCCAUCGCGCGUCAGGAGCUGGCCGCCAGCGAGGCUCGCUAUCACCAGGCGAAGGCAGCCUACGACGUGGCCAUCAGUGAUCACCACGCUGCUGAAGAAGCGCUCGCAGCGGCGCAACAGGCAUACCGCGACUCGAAGCGAAGACGUGAGGAUGCAGAGGAUGAUCUUGAGCGGGUGCGGCAAGCCUUGAAGUCCGUGUCCGACAAGUACGAUGAAGUGCACGCGCAGCGUGCACAGGCAGCAGCAGACUGUGCGGCCGUGGACGAAGCGCUCUAUCAGAAGCGGCGCGCGCGCGACGGUUGGCUGUCAGGGGAAAAAGGUGAUGACAGCAGCGAGGUAGCCGCGGCCUUCUGUCUCGGUGGGUCAAGUGCCGCAAACGGUGCAGCGGAACGCUACACAGUGCUUCAGCGAGAACUGCCGCGGCUGGAGCGGCACUUGCAGCGCAGUGUGGAGGAGGUGGUCGCUCUGGAGCGGACCGAGGCCGAGCUACGCGGCACGCUGGAGCGGGAGCGGAGCGCGCUCGACCUGCUUCGCCGACAGAAGACGGCCCUUGAGGCGCACCUGGCGUCCCUCGAGAGUUGCGUCGACGGCGCACUCGGCGUUGUGGCGCGGGAAAAGGCGGGCAGCCAAGGGCCUGCAGUGUGGUGAGAAUAUCGUUUCCGACGGCGAGGCAGUUGGGAGGAGGGGCUCAUCGGUGCUGCCGGCUGUUGAGGAGCUGGCGGGCAAGGAGGAAGACGCUGGCACACUUGGCGAACACAGAGCACCUCUUCAUGUACGUUGUGGCCCCCUCCCCGACACGCACGCGCACACACACACCGCACCCUCUCUCUCUCUCGCUCCACGACGCAUGUCCGUCCAGCUGCCUCCCUCCUUCCCUACAACUCGACUGUGUGUAUGUGUGUGUGUGUAUGUGUGUGUGUGUGCGUGUGGUCUAUCGCAACGUGCGUGCUCACCUUCGUCCCUCUCCAUUCG